This is a long non-coding RNA of Cygnus olor (mute swan), 1430 nucleotides long. RefSeq lists it as uncharacterized. NCBI's taxonomy places the organism in Eukaryota, Metazoa, Chordata, Aves, Anseriformes, Anatidae. The transcript is spliced from 3 exons. The record is from RefSeq and is a predicted model, not a curated record.
UACCUUACAGAUCUGCCCUAUUCUGGCAUGAGUGGCUUUUCCAGUGUGCUCUCCAUCAAUUGCAUUUUCACGGAAGAAGAAAUAGAUUUUGUCAUCUUCUGGAUUGUCACUUUCUGGUAUCAGGAAUGGCCAUACUGGCUUAGACCAAGGUUUACUUAGAUCAAUGUACAGACUCCAGCAUCAACCAAAAGAAAUUAUCUGUGACAAAGUAAGAAUAUGGAACACGUUGAACAACAAAGACCAUAGAAAAGAUCUCAGUGGAACUGUGUCUGUUACCUAUUCUCUAUUAAAAUAAAUCUUUUUAGACAACCAAAAACAUUAGAAAUCUAUAAACAGCUUAAGCUCUCCAUCUCUAAAACAGGAACUCAAGCUAGCCUUCAAGUUACAUUGACACAAGGCCCUAGAUAAAUAAUAUCUAGAUCAUAUUGUAACAAGGUUAAUAUAUGUUAUUUUUAUAUGAUCUAUCACCAAAAUAUCUACAUGGCAACCUGAGGAAGGAUUCAUCAGAGAAAACAGACACCCAGACACUGGUCUGGGCUACUGGAUCUGAAGAACUGGUCUGAACACAUAAGGUUGUUUUUACAAUCUUAAGGUCUUAAUGAAAAGGGUAAAAAAACAUUCAACCAAAGUCUAAAUACAUUCCCAAAUGGCUGAAUGAUUUGUCUCCAGCACAACGGGUUUUGUAAAUCACAAGAUAUCAAAUUCUAACAUAAAUCACUAUAUUGUCAGACAUCAAAAUUCUAACUUUACACUGGUUUGUGAUGAGCCCAUGGGGAGACCCAUUCAAGUCAGCAAUAUUGCUGAUAUAGUAAAGGUUAUAUAAACUUGCCCUAGGUUAGCAUAUUAUUAUUCUUUUCUUUCUGUCUCUUAAUUUUGCAAGUGAACCUAGAACAGUAAGAAAGCCUAGUAUUUGAGCAGAAUUGAUAAAAGAAUUACACAAAAUAUUUGAAGAGGUUAAAAAUAUGUAUUUCAGAUAACUAGCAGAGUGGUAGCAGAGGAGAGGGGUAUGAGUAAGUCAAAUAGAACUAAGGCCAUAGCUAGAGCAUGUGAAUAUGCUUUUUACAUAUUUCUUAGCAGUGUUCAUCUGGGAAGAAUUCAGAAUUUCAAUUAGUGAUUAGUAAUUCUAACUACAUCCCCCAAAAUAGAAUGCUCAUACAGCCUUGUAUUAGAGCAUAUCUUUUGUACAUCAUUGAACAGCUUCUGCUGAAAAACACUUGUGUUUCUUACUGAGCAAACCUCAGUUUGUUUUGCCACCUGGUUAAAUUGAUAUGUUUUAGUCAAUAAAAGAGUGGUUCUUCAUGUUAUACAUCCCUCGUUCCUAUUAUUUUUUCCCCCUCUUCCAUAUAACAUUUUGUGUGUCUAUGUAAUGAAACAAAUGAAGGGAAAAAAAAAAAAGGCUAUAUGUGUUCUGUUGCAUAUAGACACAAUUU